AUUGAACGCUGGCGGCAGGCUUAACACAUGCAAGUCGAGCGGGGUGAUGGUGCUUGCACUAUCACUUAGCGGCGGACGGGUGAGUAAUGCUUAGGAAUCUGCCUAUUAGUGGGGGACAACAUCUCGAAAGGGAUGCUAAUACCGCAUAUGUCCUACGGGAGAAAGCAGGGGAUCACUUGUGACCUUGCGCUAAUAGAUGAGCCUAAGUCGGAUUAGCUAGUUGGUGGGGUAAAGGCCUACCAAGGCGACGAUCUGUAGCGGGUCUGAGAGGAUGAUCCGCCACACUGGGACGGAGACACGGCCCAGACUCCUACGGGAGGCAGCAGUGGGGAAUAUUGGACAAUGGGGGGAACCCCGAUCCAGCCAUGCCGCGUGUGUGAAGAAGGCCUUAUGGUUGUAAAGCACUUUAAGCGAGGAGGAGGCUCUUUUGGUUAAUACCCAAGAUGAGUGGACGUUACUCGCAGAAUAAGCACCGGCUAACUCUGUGCCAGCCGCCGCCGUAA
This 503-nucleotide ribosomal RNA is filed under the name uncultured bacterium. RNAcentral describes it as "partial 16S ribosomal RNA". It matches the Rfam family "Bacterial small subunit ribosomal RNA", at positions 30 to 523 of the family's 1533-position model. The record is from RNAcentral.